RNAcentral lists this ribosomal RNA (253 nucleotides) under uncultured bacterium. RNAcentral describes it as "partial 16S ribosomal RNA". It matches the Rfam family "Bacterial small subunit ribosomal RNA", at positions 524 to 776 of the family's 1533-position model. The record is from RNAcentral.
UACGUAGGGGGCAAGCGUUGUCCGGAAUUACUGGGCGUAAAGGGCUCGUAGGUGGCCAACUAAGUCAGACGUGAAAUCCCUCGGCUUAACCGGGGAACUGCGUCUGAUACUGGAUGGCUUGAGUUUGGGAGAGGGACGCGGAAUUCCAGGUGUAGCGGUGAAAUGCGUAGAUAUCUGGAGGAACACCGGUGGCGAAGGCGGCGUCCUGGACCAAUACUGACACUGAUGAGCGAAAGCCAGGGGAGCAAACGGG